RNAcentral lists this ribosomal RNA (370 nucleotides) under uncultured organism. Its description in RNAcentral is "partial 16S ribosomal RNA". It matches the Rfam family "Bacterial small subunit ribosomal RNA", at positions 527 to 896 of the family's 1533-position model. The record is from RNAcentral.
GUAGGUGGCAAGCGUUGUCCGGAAUUAUUGGGCGUAAAGCGCGCGCAGGCGGUUCUUUAAGUCUGAUGUGAAAGCCCACGGCUCAACCGUGGAGGGUCAUUGGAAACUGGAGAACUUGAGUACAGAAGAGGAAAGCGGAAUUCCACGUGUAGCGGUGAAAUGCGUAGAGAUGUGGAGGAACACCAGUGGCGAAGGCGGCUUUCUGGUCUGUAACUGACGCUGAGGCGCGAAAGCGUGGGGAGCAAACAGGAUUAGAUACCCUGGUAGUCCACGCCGUAAACGAUGAGUGCUAAGUGUUAGGGGGUUUCCGCCCCUUAGUGCUGCAGCUAACGCAUUAAGCACUCCGCCUGGGAGUACGGCCGCAAGGCUG